GACAGAGGUGCCGAGCGUUAGGCGGAAUCACUGGGCUUAAAGCGUGUGUAGGCGGACCGUUAAGUACCUUGUGAAAUCCCCCGGCUCAACCGGGGAACGGCUGGGUAUACUGGCGGUCUUGAGCCAUCCAGGGGCAGUCGGAACAGACGGUGGAGCGGUGAAAUGCGUAGAUAUCGUCUGGAACGCCGAAGGUGAAAAUAGACUGCUGGGGAUGAGCUGACGCUGAGACACGAAAGCCAGGGGAGCGAACGGG
RNAcentral lists this ribosomal RNA (253 nucleotides) under uncultured bacterium. RNAcentral's name for it is "partial 16S ribosomal RNA". It matches the Rfam family "Bacterial small subunit ribosomal RNA", at positions 524 to 776 of the family's 1533-position model. The record is from RNAcentral.